GACAGAGGAGGCAAGCGUUGUUCGGAAUCACUGGGCGUAAAGCGCGCGCGGGCGGAUCGUUAAGCGGCUUGUGAAAUCCCACGGCUCAACCGUGGAACUGCAGGGCGAACUGUCGGGCUUGAGGUCGGGAGAGGUGGCUGGAACUCUAGGUGGAGCGGUGAAAUGCGUAGAGAUCUAGAGGAACGCCAGUGGCGAAAGCAGGGCACUGGGCCGAUACUGACGCUGAGGCGCGAAAGAGUGGGGAGCAAACAGG
RNAcentral lists this ribosomal RNA (253 nucleotides) under uncultured bacterium. Its description in RNAcentral is "partial 16S ribosomal RNA". It matches the Rfam family "Bacterial small subunit ribosomal RNA", at positions 524 to 776 of the family's 1533-position model. The record is from RNAcentral.